Long non-coding RNA from Oncorhynchus keta (chum salmon), 1221 nucleotides. RefSeq lists it as uncharacterized. The transcript has 3 exons. Lineage: Eukaryota; Metazoa; Chordata; Actinopteri; Salmoniformes; Salmonidae. The record is from RefSeq and is a predicted model, not a curated record.
UGUAGGUCUUCGACAGCGAUACCAACACUGUUACUAACAUUAAACUCUACUAAAUAUUAUUCACUUAUGAUUUUUGUAUAACAAUUGUCGGUCACGUUAAGCAUGAAUGUGGAUGAAAUACGCUUACAAUUAACAUGACAAGCAUGACAAAAACAUUUGCAAUCUGUGUUUGGCGCCAAAUAGAGGUGUGUAGUUGAAUGUCCGGAGCCCCUUUUGCAUCAAAGCAGUUGUUCCUCCUGCUUUACCUUGUCAAGAUCUCAAAGAGCAGCUGUAGGCUAUCAAUCAGAGGUGCGUGUCACACUUUUCCCGCAUACCAAGCAAACAAACCUGAUUUGAACUAAUUUAAUUGUUUAACUGAAGAUCAUGAUUAGUUGAUUAUUGGAGUCAGGUGUGUUGGCUGGGGAAAAAGUGUGACACCAAUCAGACCCCGAGGACUGGAGUUGCCCAGGCCUGGAAGGAAGAAACCUAGAAAGGAACCAGACUCAUAGUGGUGGAAUGCCAUCCAACAGAAUAAUGACUGACUUUUCAAAAUCGACAGUGAUGGAAGAAAUCCCACAUGUUGGAGUUAAUGUGUGCAGCCAUCAUCUGGGUCCAACCAAUCAUAUUACAGAUUAGAUAAGGUCACACGAACGGAACACUUGCCAGCCGGGAAGUGGAAUUGAUCGAAAAAUAUGGGGAUGAAUUUCAUUGGAACUAUGAAAUUGAGCUAUGAAAUAUAUCCCCUGCUGUGAGUAAAUAUUACACUACACCUAAAAACAGAAACUUGAUGGCUUUUACAUCUGAAAGUACUCAUCCCACGUAAUCUGAUUGGCUAUAUGUUAAAUAUUCGCACAGUAAUAUGCACUCCCAGAACAUAUGACUCAACUCUGUCACUACGCUGUAAUGGUUCAUUAUCUGUUAAAUGUUGGGGAAAAUACAGUGGUGUAAAGUACUGAAGUAAAAAUACUUUAAAGUACUACUUAAGUAGUUUUUUGUGGUAUCUGUACUUUACUAUUUAUAUUUUCUACAACUCCUUACUUCACUACAUUCCUAUUGAAAAUAAUGUGCUUUUUACUCCAUACAUUUUUCCUGACACCCAAAAGUACUUGUUACAUUUUGAAUGCUUAUCAGGACAGGAAAAUUGUACAAUUCAUCAAGAGAACGUCCAUGGUCAUCCCUACUGCCGCUGAUCUGGCAGACUCACUAAACACACAUGCUUUGUUUUUAAAUUAUGUUGGAGUG